CCUACGGGUGGCAGCAGUGGGGAAUUUUGGGCAAUGGGCGCAAGCCUGACCCAGCAACGCCGCGUGAAGGAAGAAGGCUCUCGGGUUGUAAACUUCUUUUAUCAGGGCCGAAGCAAAGGACGGUACCUGAUAAAUAAGCCACGGCUAACUAAGUGCUAGCAGCCGGGGUAAUACGUAGGUGGCAAGCGUUAGCCAGAUUUACUGGGUGUAAAGGGCGUGAAGGCGGGGAAGCAAGUCAGAUGUGAAAACCAUGGCCUCAACCUGUGGACUGCAUUUGAUACUGUUUUUCUUGAGUUCUGGAGAGGCAGACGGAAUUCCUAGUGUAGCAGUGAAAUGCGUAGAUAUUAGGAGGAACACCAGUGGCGAAGGCGGUCUGCUGGACAGCAACUGACGCUGAGGCGCGAAAGCGUGGGGAGCAAACAGGAUUAGAUACCCGUGUAGUC
This 443-nucleotide ribosomal RNA is filed under the name uncultured bacterium. RNAcentral's name for it is "partial 16S ribosomal RNA". It matches the Rfam family "Bacterial small subunit ribosomal RNA", at positions 338 to 795 of the family's 1533-position model. The record is from RNAcentral.